RNAcentral lists this ribosomal RNA (441 nucleotides) under Streptococcus sp. oral taxon 064. RNAcentral describes it as "bacterial SSU rRNA". It matches the Rfam family "Bacterial small subunit ribosomal RNA", at positions 28 to 461 of the family's 1533-position model. Lineage: Bacteria; Bacillati; Bacillota; Bacilli; Lactobacillales; Streptococcaceae. The record is from RNAcentral.
GACGAACGCUGGCGGCGUGCCUAAUACAUGCAAGUAGAACGCUGAAGGAGGAGCUUGCUCUUCUGGAUGAGUUGCGAACGGGUGAGUAACGCGUAGGUAACCUGCCUGGUAGCGGGGGAUAACUAUUGGAAACGAUAGCUAAUACCGCAUAAUAGUAGAUGUUGCAUGACAUUUGCUUAAAAGGUGCAAUUGCAUCACUACCAGAUGGACCUGCGUUGUAUUAGCUAGUUGGUGAGGUAACGGCUCACCAAGGCAACGAUACAUAGCCGACCUGAGAGGGUGAUCGGCCACACUGGGACUGAGACACGGCCCAGACUCCUACGGGAGGCAGCAGUAGGGAAUCUUCGGCAAUGGACGGAAGUCUGACCGAGCAACGCCGCGUGAGUGAAGAAGGUUUUCGGAUCGUAAAGCUCUGUUGUAAGAGAAGAACGAGUGUGAGAG